Peromyscus leucopus (white-footed mouse) is the source of this 526-nucleotide long non-coding RNA. RefSeq lists it as uncharacterized. NCBI's taxonomy places the organism in Eukaryota, Metazoa, Chordata, Mammalia, Rodentia, Cricetidae. The transcript has 2 exons. The record is from RefSeq and is a predicted model, not a curated record.
CCUAGCAACACACACUCUUGUUGUGCUGUGCAGCCUCGCCGCAGCGUUGGUUCUGAACACACGCCAUGCAGGCUGCCCUGUGCCUGCCCUCACGCCCUGCGAUCCAGUUCAGACUCGACCUUGCUGUAUUUUAUAAACUGCGGCGCUUUAUUAGCAUACGAAGUUUUCUUCUCUUGUAAUAGCUUGCAAGUUGCAAUAUGUCCUCAGUACGAAAAGCCAGCAGGUUUAACAUCGACUCUCUCCAGACCAGCAUGAUGAAUCAUUUUAAAGUCAGAGGCUCUGCUCAGACCCUGACAGAAGAAAACUACCAACAGACACAGGACCAUGUACACAAUUUCCGGGCACUCAUAAAACAGCUGAAGCAGAACCCAGCCCAGAAGUCCUGCUCAAACAUCAGGAGGCUGCUGAGCAUCAUUUAAGGGCUUUAUAAAGCCCAUGCCCUGAAAAUGGCUCUUCCCACUGGCUGCUCAUUCUCAGCUGGCACAUAAGGCUGCUCUUGACUUUGACCUAUAAAACUCCAGAAUUA